This 253-nucleotide ribosomal RNA is filed under the name uncultured bacterium. RNAcentral describes it as "partial 16S ribosomal RNA". It matches the Rfam family "Bacterial small subunit ribosomal RNA", at positions 524 to 776 of the family's 1533-position model. The record is from RNAcentral.
UACGUAGGGUGCGAGCGUUGUCCGGAAUUACUGGGCGUAAAGAGCUCGUAGGCGGCUUGUCGCGUUGUUCGUGAAAAUUUACCGCUCAACGGUGAACUUGCGGGCGAUACGGGCAGGCUAGAGUACUGCAGGGGAGACUGGAAUUCCUGGUGUAGCGGUGAAAUGCGCAGAUAUCGGGAGGAACACCGGUGGCGAAGGCGGUUCUCUGGGCCUGUACUGACGCUGAGGAGCGAAAGCGUGGGGAGCAAACAGG